GGUACGUCGCGUAUUUUACAAUGGUAUUUAUUGCUGAAGAGUGAAGAAAGUCGUUUAAUGAGAGUAUUAAAAUUGCAGUGGGCAAAUUCAGGAGAAUUUCGAACGAAACAACCAGAUCAGUUACGAAAGUCGUUCCAAGAUAUGAAAGCUCAAGUUUUAUGUUCUGAAAGGUCUGCUUGCAAAAAGUUGCAAUCGUUACGCAAGCGUUGAUCUGCUAAACUAUCUUUUCUUUAAAAUGAGCAUGUAAUAUAAAAUAUAAAUAAAUAAGAUCUAAAAUAUACAAACAUGAAU
Xenia sp. Carnegie-2017 is the source of this 291-nucleotide long non-coding RNA. RefSeq lists it as uncharacterized. The record is from RefSeq and is a predicted model, not a curated record. The transcript has 3 exons. Lineage: Eukaryota; Metazoa; Cnidaria; Anthozoa; Malacalcyonacea; Xeniidae.